RNAcentral lists this ribosomal RNA (492 nucleotides) under uncultured bacterium. Its description in RNAcentral is "partial 16S ribosomal RNA". It matches the Rfam family "Bacterial small subunit ribosomal RNA", at positions 29 to 507 of the family's 1533-position model. The record is from RNAcentral.
AGUGGACGCUGGCGGUAGGCCUAACACAUGCAAGUCGAACGGCAGCACAGUAAGAGCUUGCUCUUACGGGUGGCGAGUGGCGGACGGGUGAGGAAUACAUCGGAAUCUACUUUUUCGUGGGGGAUAACGUAGGGAAACUUACGCUAAUACCGCAUACGACCUACGGGUGAAAGUAGGGGAUCUUCGGACCUUGCGCGAUUGAAUGAGCCGAUGUCGGAUUAGCUAGUUGGCGGGGUAAAGGCCCACCAAGGCGACGAUCCGUAGCUGGUCUGAGAGGAUGAUCAGCCACACUGGAACUGAGACACGGUCCAGACUCCUACGGGAGGCAGCAGUGGGGAAUAUUGGACAAUGGGCGCAAGCCUGAUCCAGCCAUACCGCGUGGGUGAAGAAGGCCUUCGGGUUGUAAAGCCCUUUUGUUGGGAAAGAAAAGCAGCAGGUUAAUACCCCGCUGUUCUGACGGUACCCAAAGAAUAAGCACCGGCUAACUUCGUG